GCAAGUCGAGGGGUAACAGGGGAGCUUGCUCUCGCUGACGACCGGCGCACGGGUGCGUAACGCGUAUGCAAUCUACCUUAUACUGGAGAAUAGCCCAGAGAAAUUUGGAUUAAUGCUCCAUAAUAUAUUUUAUUCGCAUGGAUUAAAUAUUAAAGGUUACGGUAUAAGAUGAGCAUGCGUCCUAUUAGCUAGAUGGUGUGGUAACGGCAUACCAUGGCAACGAUAGGUAGGGGCCCUGAGAGGGGGAUC
This 249-nucleotide ribosomal RNA is filed under the name uncultured bacterium. RNAcentral's name for it is "partial 16S ribosomal RNA". It matches the Rfam family "Bacterial small subunit ribosomal RNA", at positions 57 to 305 of the family's 1533-position model. The record is from RNAcentral.